Neofelis nebulosa (Clouded leopard) is the source of this 942-nucleotide long non-coding RNA. RefSeq lists it as uncharacterized. NCBI's taxonomy places the organism in Eukaryota, Metazoa, Chordata, Mammalia, Carnivora, Felidae. The record is from RefSeq and is a predicted model, not a curated record. The transcript has 3 exons.
GUUCCAGCACGUCAUAGAGUCAAUCCCAACAGUUUUGCGCAAACUAACGAUAGGCAAGGAAAGGAGAAAACUGUGAACGCACACGACGGCCAACAUUUCCUCCUUUCUCUGCCUGUCGUUUUGUCUGACCUGACAAGACAGGGAGGAGCGGAGACAACACAGCCAGCUGCCUAAGCCAAAAAUACCACGCGCCGUAGCCAGCAGAGACACUUCAGGGACCCGCGUCUUUUCCAAACCCACAGACCACACCGCCUCCCCCAGCUGAAACACGCUUGGCCGCCGCCCCUACGCCCCAAGCCAACGUCAACGUCAUCACGCUACAAGGAGACCGAGAAGGAGCGUGCGCACUGGCGUUGUUGCUGGAGCAACUGGGGAGCACAGCUGGGAUGAGGUCUGAAAGGUCUUCAUUUCUACAGCUUCCAGUUGAUGCCGAAGGACACUGAGAGGCAAGGAGUGACUGAUGCACAGGGAAAGCCUCCAGGAGACUUCGUUGUUGAGAGGAUUAGCCUGAGGAUAUCGGCCAUUUCUGCGUUCUGAGCACAAAGACGAGACACAGACCCUUGCUUAAGUCACAGUUGUGUGGUAUCAGACAUCUAAACAGACAAGUGCAUAAGAGUGAUAGGAUGCCAGAGAUGGCUUACUGGAGAAGGUAACCCUCUGACGACUGAAAAGUAACUGAAGGGACUUUGUUUAUGCAAUUCAGAGAAGGCACGACAGUGUGAAGAUGUUGGGGAGAGGCUAGAGGGAAUGUUGGCCAUUGCCUGCCGGAAUCUUCAAAUCUCUCUUUUUUUCCAACACAGUUAUCUGCAUUUGUUUGACCAGGAAACAAUGACCCUUUUAAGUUUAUCCCCCCACCACCAAUUAAAAAAAAAUUCUGUAAUUCAGUGACAAUCAUGAAAAGGUUUCUAUCUAAUUAAAAGAAAGAAGGGCUAAUAACAUAAA